Molecule: ribosomal RNA, 406 nt
Filed under: uncultured bacterium
Lineage: Bacteria
Description: bacterial SSU rRNA
Rfam family: Bacterial small subunit ribosomal RNA
Source: RNAcentral
UGGGGGAUAUUGCACAAUGGGGGGAACCCUGAUGCAGCGACGCCGCGUGGGCGAAGAAGUAUUUCGGUAUGUAAAGCCCUGUCAGCGGGGAAGAAGAGAUGACGGUACCCGACCAAGAAGCACCGGCUAAAUACGUGCCAGCAGCCGCGGUAAUACGUAUGGUGCAAGCGUUAUCCGGAUUUACUGGGUGUAAAGGGAGCGCAGGCGGCACGCCAAGUCCGGUGUGAAACCCCGGGGCCCAACCCCGGGCAUGCACUGGAAACUGGCGGGCUGGAGUGCCGGAGGGGUAGGCGGAAUUCCUGGUGUAGCGGUGAAAUGCGUAGAUAUCAGGAGGAACACCGGUGGCGAAGGCGGCCUACUGGACGGUGACUGACGCUGAGGCUCGAAAGCGUGGGGAGCAAACAGG